UACCCGCAGCUCGAGGGGAAGCCGCUAUUAUUGAGCCUAAAGCGUUUGUAGCCGGCUUUGUAAAUCCUUGGGUAAAUCGAGUCGCUUAACGGUUCGAAUUUAAGGGAGACUGCAAGGAUAGAGACCGGGAGAGGUCAGAGGUACUUUCGAGGUAGGAGUAAAAUCCCGUAAUCCCGAAGGGACCACCUGUGGCGAAGGCGUCUGACUAGAAAGGCUCUGACGGUGAGGAACGAAGGCUAGGGGAGCAAACCGG
This 253-nucleotide ribosomal RNA is filed under the name uncultured archaeon. RNAcentral's name for it is "partial 16S ribosomal RNA". It matches the Rfam family "Archaeal small subunit ribosomal RNA", at positions 474 to 727 of the family's 1478-position model. The record is from RNAcentral.